RNAcentral lists this unclassified non-coding RNA (329 nucleotides) under plant metagenome. RNAcentral describes it as "partial contains 5.8S ribosomal RNA, internal transcribed spacer 2, and large subunit ribosomal RNA". The stretch from base 1 to 105 matches the Rfam family "5.8S ribosomal RNA", at positions 50 to 154 of the family's 154-position model. The record is from RNAcentral.
GAAAUGCAAUAAGUAAUGUGAAUUGCAGAAUUCCGUGAAUCAUCGAAUCUUUGAACGCACAUUGCGCCCUCUGGUAUUCCGGGGGGCAUGCCUGUCCGAGCGUCAUUGCGAACCCCUCAAGCACGGCUUGUGUGAUGGGCCCUCCCGCGUCUUGGUCGUCAAGACGGGCCCGAAAUGCAGUGGCGGCUUCGCGGUUAUCCGAUCAGCCAGAGCGUAUGGGGACUUUCUCUCUGUCACACGCCCGCGGCGCGGACCGACGCCUGUCGACCUUUAUUCAUCUUUUUCUCGGUUGACCUCGGAUCAGGUAGGGAUACCCGCUGAACUUAAGC